Molecule: ribosomal RNA, 549 nt
Filed under: Brevundimonas sp. sed039
Lineage: Bacteria; Pseudomonadati; Pseudomonadota; Alphaproteobacteria; Caulobacterales; Caulobacteraceae
Description: bacterial SSU rRNA
Rfam family: Bacterial small subunit ribosomal RNA
Source: RNAcentral
GGACGGGUGAGUAACACGUGGGAACGUGCCUUUAGGUUCGGAAUAACUCAGGGAAACUUGUGCUAAUACCGAAUGUGCCCUUCGGGGGAAAGAUUUAUCGCCUUUAGAGCGGCCCGCGUCUGAUUAGCUAGUUGGUGAGGUAAAGGCUCACCAAGGCGACGAUCAGUAGCUGGUCUGAGAGGAUGAUCAGCCACAUUGGGACUGAGACACGGCCCAAACUCCUACGGGAGGCAGCAGUGGGGAAUCUUGCGCAAUGGGCGAAAGCCUGACGCAGCCAUGCCGCGUGAAUGAUGAAGGUCUUAGGAUUGUAAAAUUCUUUCACCGGGGACGAUAAUGACGGUACCCGGAGAAGAAGCCCCGGCUAACUUCGUGCCAGCAGCCGCGGUAAUACGAAGGGGGCUAGCGUUGCUCGGAAUUACUGGGCGUAAAGGGAGCGUAGGCGGACAUUUAAGUCAGGGGUGAAAUCCCGGGGCUCAACCUCGGAAUUGCCUUUGAUACUGGGUGUCUUGAGUAUGAGAGAGGUGUGUGGAACUCCGAGUGUAGAGGUGA